GACGAACGCUGGCGGCGUGCUUAACACAUGCAAGUCGAACGGAAAGGCCCUGCUUUUGUGGGGUGCUCUAGUUGCGAACGGGUGAGUAACACUUGAGUAACCUGCCCUUGACUUUGGGAUAACUUCAUGAAACUGGGUCUAAUACCGGAUAGGAGCUCCUGCUGCUUGGUGGGGGUUGGAAAGUUUCGGCGGUUGGGGAUGGACUCGCGGCUUAUCAGCUUGUUGGUGGGGUAGUGGCUUACCAAGGCUUUGACGGGUAGCCGGCCUGAGAGGGGGACCGGCCACAUUGGGACUGAGAUACGGCACAGACUACUACGGGAGGCAGCAGUGGGGAAGAUUGCACAAUGGGCGGAAGCCUGAUGCAGCAACGCCGCGUGCGGGAUGACGGCCUUCGGGUUGUAAACCGCUUUCGCCUGUGACGAAGCGUGAGUGACGGUAAUGGGUAAAGAAGCACCGGCUAACUACGUG
This 468-nucleotide ribosomal RNA is filed under the name uncultured bacterium. RNAcentral describes it as "partial 16S ribosomal RNA". It matches the Rfam family "Bacterial small subunit ribosomal RNA", at positions 28 to 507 of the family's 1533-position model. The record is from RNAcentral.